ACGAAGAAGACAAUUGUAGCGUCUCCAUGCAGCUCAGACUGCAGUUCAAUUGCGACAUGUAAGGGAGGUGUGUGAUAAAGGGGAUAAAGUCCUACUGGCAGGAGUUUUUAAGUUCAGACUGCACACAGAGAAGAAGUGCGUCAAAUCCAAGUCUUCUUUUGACACCAUGGCUCAAUACACUCGUGUUUUGGGGUCUGUCGGCUUGAUAACUCUCAAAAACCCUCCUGUUAAUGCACUCAGUGCGAAGGUGAGACAAGGCAUCGUUGACUCGGUGGAGAGAGCACUCGGUGAACCAGAAGUGAAGUGUGUGGUCAUCUGUGGCCAGAAUGGAAAAUUCUGUGGAGGAGCAGACAUCAGGGAGUUUGGGAAAACGAUGACUGGUCCUCCACUGAUACCGAUCUUCCAUGCUAUUGAGGCUGCAGCCAAGCCGGUGGUGGCAGCCAUAGAGGGGGUCGCUUUAGGUGGAGGUCUUGAGUUAGCACUUGGCUGUCAUUAUCGAAUCGCACACUCUAAAGCCAAGCUGGGGCUUCCAGAGGUUACUCUGGGUCUGCUGCCAUCUGAAACGGGAAGUCUGCGUCUGACACGGCUCAUUGGUGUCCCAGCUGCCUUAGACCUCAUCACCACAGGCCGUCACGUGACUGCUGCUGAAGCACUGCAACUUGGAAUCGUGGAUCAGGUUUUUGAUCACAAUACUGUGGAUGCAGCUGUGAAGUUUGCCUUGAGUGUUGCAGGACAGUCGCUGGAUGCACGUCGUAUUAGCACUUUUCCAUGCCCAAGCCUCCCUAAUCUGGAUGCCGUGUUUGACGCAGCGAUGCAGAAGGUGCGUCAAGCUGCCCGUGGAGCCAUAGCACCAGUUGCAUGCGUCCAAGCGGUGCGUGCAGCAGCCACCCUGCCCUACGCUCAGGGUAUGGAGCGGGAGAAAGAGCUGAUGGCCACCCUCUUCACCUCAGGCCAAGCCCGUGCUCUCCAGUACAGUUUCUUUGCUCAGAGGGCAGUCGGCAGGUGGAGCAUGCCCAGUGGAGCCCGGUGGGACACAAGCAAGCCCAAACCUAUACGUAAAGCAGCUGUCAUUGGUCUUGGUACCAUGGGAAGAGGCAUAACCGUGAGUCUCGCACAGGCAGGUUUGUCUGUGGUUGCCGUGGAGACCCAGGAGAAGCAGCUGAUGGAGGCAAAGCAAGCAGUAUCUGGUAUGUUGGAGCGAGGGGCCAAGAGACGGGGGGUGGCUCCUCCUCUGGAUAACAUCAGUUACAGCAAUAACAUCAAAACUGUUGGAGAUGUGGACCUGGUCAUCGAAGCUGUGUUUGAGGACAUGGCUCUGAAGAAGAAGGUCUUCCAGCAGCUGUCUGCCGUUUGUAAACCAGGUACGUUCCUGUGCACAAAUACGUCUGGACUGGACAUAGACGACCUGGCCUCUCAAAGCCCCAACCCAGAGCUGGUGGUUGGAAUGCAUUUUUUUGCUCCAGCCCAUGUUAUGAAGCUGCUGGAGGUGGUGUACGGCCCACGGUCAUCUCCUCAAGCUGUGGCCACUGCCAUGCAGCUGGGGAAAGUAAUGGGAAAAGUCAGUGUGGCAGUUGGAAACUGCCAAGGCUUUGUGGGGAACCGCAUGCUGUCGCCAUACGUGAGUCAAGCUAAUUUCCUGUUGGAAGAGGGAGCCACACCUGAGUUUGUAGAUCAAGUGCUGGAGGAGUUUGGAUUUGCAAUGGGUGUGUUCAGGAUGUCUGACCUCUCUGGGCUCGAUGUAGGCUGGAGAGUCAGGAAGGCAGCUGGGCUGGUGGUGCCAGGGCAGCCAGCUAGAAUGAGACAAGGGUGCAGGUACAGCCCCCUCGGAGACCUGCUGUGUGAGCAGGGACGGUUUGGUCAGAAAACAGGCAGCGGAUGGUAUCAGUAUGACAAACCCGGCAGUCGGGUAGCAAAGCCUGACCCUUGGCUGCACGGCUUUCUGGAGGAGUAUCGAGCCCGUCACGGCUUGGUGGCUCGCCGCAUAGAUCACCAGGAAGUGCUGGAGCGCUGUCUGUAUUCCCUAAUCAAUGAGGGCUUCCGUAUCCUGGAGGAGGGAAUAGCUGCAGGGCCUGAAGACAUCGAUGUCAUCUACGUGUUAGGCUACAGCUGGCCCAGGCACCGUGGAGGCCCCAUGUUCUACGCUGACAUGGUGGGUCUGACCAAGGUCCUGGAGAGGCUGGAGUUCUACCACCAGGCUCACCCUGAUGUGCCCAGCCUGCAGCCCUGCAACCUGCUCAGGAAGCUGGUGGCCAGUGGCAGCCCACCUAUGCACAGGUGGAGGGAAGUCAUCAGGAAAGUCCACAGCCAGCUUUAAACAACAUGUCAGCUUUAAUACUUUAAUACAAUUGUAUGAUUUUAUACUCUGAUAAACAUAAUGGACAGUGGAUUUAUAAUGCACUUUCUAAUCUAAUAAUGACGAUUGAUUGUUUUAAUGUAGUGUUGUCAUGGGUGAUUUUUUAGGAGGCUCUACUGUGUACCCUGAGGUACCAGUUUAUUAGGAAUGCCUGUGCAACCAAAUGUAGAAACAAACCAAAACAAUCAAAAUUCUCUCUGUGUGCACCUGUUUGUAUCAGAGAAGUUUAUCCACUUAACUUGAACAUAAAAAUCAGGAAAUAAGGAAAUUGCUUUGUCACAGUUGCUCAGUGCACAUUAAAAAGAGGACAUAUUAAUAAACCAGAGCCUAGAAUAUAAUUAUAAUAAUUACAAAAAUGACACAUUGAGUGAAGUGAAAUGCAGAAGUCCAGACGUGCUGCACACGGUGUAAUCACAGUAUGCACAAAGUGCACAAAUGGACUUGUGCAGAUAGAUUAACGUUUAUUUUCAGAGGAAAUUACCCAUCAUGUGCAAAUGAAUGGAAAGUGUAACAUGAGUUGGUAUUGAAUUAACAUUAAAGAGAUGUGAAUAAAGAGAGUAAUUUGACAAUAAUGGAAAUGUACUUUGGCAUUAAUGGCAGUUGGCUGUAGAAGUCAUAAAAAUCACACAGCUACAGCAGAAAGUGCAGGAACUAUAUUUCUGGCUAGAAAGAGCUCCUGUGGUGAACAGCAGGACGCUCAACGGUUAUGACUCUGUGCCUGAACAUACUCCUCGGCUCUGAUGGAGGAAAGUUUUAAUGACAUUCUCCUCUACACUUUACUGAUUGUAUUAUCAUUUCUAAUAUUUUGUGUGCAGGUGUGGACAAAUUACUAGAAAUACUUCUCUGCCAUUGUGUCAAAGGACUUGAACACCACAGAAUUGGGAUUACUGUACUGCAAUGAAUGAAGUUGUACAAAUGUAACAAAGGGGCAAUUCACUGUACAGUGAGAUUUAAGAAACACUAAAAUGCAAAGCUGUGAAUGCAUUCUCUUCCUCUGUAAUAAUAGAUUUGCUAUAAUGACCUCCCUGAAGACUGAGAGCAGUUAAGCCUUGGGUUUCUAUAAUUCACCACAUUUUAGUAAAUCAUGCAGAAAAUUGUAACAUUUACAUGCAAAUAAGGAAAUGUUUUCUGAUUUUACUACAUUACUGGUAAUCAGUUGUGUAUAAUACAUAUUAGUACCUUUACAGCAUGCACAAAAUGGUCUGAUUUCUUAAUAAAGACAUGUUGUUAUA
Molecule: RNA transcript, 3585 nt
Organism: Acanthochromis polyacanthus (spiny chromis)
Lineage: Eukaryota; Metazoa; Chordata; Actinopteri; Pomacentridae
Gene name: peroxisomal bifunctional enzyme
Exons: 8
Source: RefSeq, a predicted model, not a curated record